AUUGAACGCUGGCGGAAUGCUUUACACAUGCAAGUCGAACGGUAGAGGGGGCAACCCCUUGAGAGUGGCGAACGGGUGAGUAAUAUAUCGGAACGUGCCCAGUCGUGGGGAUAACGUAGCGAAAGUUACGCUAAUACCGCAUACGAUCUAUGGAUGAAAGCGGGGGAUCGCAAGACCUCGCGCGAUUGGAGCGGCCGAUAUCAGAUUAGGUAGUUGGUGAGGUAAAGGCUCACCAAGGCGACGAUCCUUAGCUGGUCUGAGAGGAUGAUCAGCCACACUGGGACUGAGACACGGCCCAGACUCCUACGGGAGGCAGCAGUGGGGAAUAUUGGACAAUGGGCGAAAGCCUGAUCCAGCAAUGCCGCGUGAGUGAUGAAGGCC
RNAcentral lists this ribosomal RNA (381 nucleotides) under uncultured bacterium. RNAcentral describes it as "bacterial SSU rRNA". It matches the Rfam family "Bacterial small subunit ribosomal RNA", at positions 30 to 416 of the family's 1533-position model. The record is from RNAcentral.